This 253-nucleotide ribosomal RNA is filed under the name uncultured bacterium. Its description in RNAcentral is "partial 16S ribosomal RNA". It matches the Rfam family "Bacterial small subunit ribosomal RNA", at positions 524 to 776 of the family's 1533-position model. The record is from RNAcentral. RNAcentral also lists the same sequence under 1 other name.
GACGAGCCACACGAACGUUAUUCGGAAUUACUGGGCUUAAAGGGUGCGUAGGCUGCGCGGAAAGUUGGGUGUGAAAUCCCUCGGCUCAACCGAGGAACUGCGCCCAAAACUACCGUGCUCGAGGAAGAUAGAGGUAAGCGGAACUUACGGUGGAGCGGUGAAAUGCGUUGAUAUCGUAAGGAACACCUGUGGCGAAAGCGGCUUACUGGGUCUUUUCUGACGCUGAUGCACGAAAGCUAGGGGAGCAAACGGG